Long non-coding RNA from Dermochelys coriacea (leatherback sea turtle), 1075 nucleotides. RefSeq lists it as uncharacterized. NCBI's taxonomy places the organism in Eukaryota, Metazoa, Chordata, Testudines, Dermochelyidae. The record is from RefSeq and is a predicted model, not a curated record. The transcript is spliced from 2 exons.
CUACCAUAGAAUAUCUAAAGUUUGAUUUUUCAGGAAUUUGAAGAUUGAAGUCCAUGUGGCUCUGGUGUGUGUAAAAUUGCACACCUGUUUUAUGCAUCUAAUGAUUACAGUUGUGCAUACAGAUGAAGCUAAAUGAAUACCUAUUUGCAAGUGUAAAAUGCCUGAUUUGCAUAAGGAGUUCUGCAAUUGCAUACAAAAGCUGGUGCAUCUCAGGUCUUAAAUUCUGAAAAUCUGUCUUUGAAUGAUUAUGUGUGGGCAGACCCCUGGCUUAACAUCUCAUCCAAAUCCAGUAAGUUAUAUAUCUUUCCUUCUGGUAUUAUUCAGAUUUCAAGUCACCGCUUGGAAAGCCACCUUUAGUAUAUCUGUGGCUUAUUGCAAAGUUAACCCCUGGAUGACCUUUUAUAUAUAUAUGUGUGUGUGUGUGUUGUUCCUAUUUUUGGCGCUCGGAUAGAGGACGUCUCAAUUUAACAAUCUUAUCACCUGAUGUCUGGGCUGUUCAUAUGAACUUGCCCCCCAAUUAUACAAGAAAAAAUGGGUCAUCUCCUCAUUGGGUGUAAGUGAACAUGAUUCCAUCAAAAUCACUGGUGCUUUGCUGAUUUACCCACAGCUGAGGAUCUGGCCUAGUACAGUGAUCUACAACUGUUAGGUACACAGGUGCUACAGGGAGCAGAUAAUAUGUUGCAUCAGGGUACAGAACUCAUGCACAUCAGCCCUAAGAAGACAAGGAAACUGUCCUGUGAGAAGGAUGACAGACGUCUCAGGGCACCUGUACACCGCUAAUAUUCAAGUGGCCGAAUAAAGCCAGCAUGACUGGGGGAAUUGUAGAGAUGUGAAAUGGGAGCGAGGGGUCCCUUCGGAGAGCAGGGUGUCUGGCUGUGUAGCCUUCAGCUCCCUCCCACUGGCUCCUGCACAUUCCCAGUUGGGAAGGGUGGGGUGAGUCAAGUGGUGAAAAGAUUUUAGAUUGUAAAGAACAAAUAGCGCGCACGCGUGUGUGUGUGUGACAUAAAGUGUAAGAUGCCUCGUGUGUUUAUAAAUCUACACAAAUAAAAAUAAAUACAAACCCUGUGUAAACUUA